RNAcentral lists this long non-coding RNA (6372 nucleotides) under Sorghum bicolor (sorghum). RNAcentral describes it as "long non-coding RNA (SBIC_LNC005406)". Lineage: Eukaryota; Viridiplantae; Streptophyta; Magnoliopsida; Poales; Poaceae. The record is from RNAcentral.
GCAUCCACAUACAUCCACUCAAUUCUAUCUCCAGACUCACCUAAAAUUAUUCUACUCCUAUCCGAGAGAGUAGCCAAAAACAUUAUCCUAUUCCUGUUUUCUCCUGUGAAAUAAAUGCUCGAGAUAUUUUGGUUACUACCACUUGCUACAUUAUUCGAGGAGGGUGAGUGCUCUAAAAAAAGAGAGAGAAGAAAAAAAGAAAAAUAUGAGAAAAUAAAAAGAGGCAAGUGCCCAGAACCUCGAAGAAAAGAAAAAGUGAGACGAGAGGUAAAAAUAGACAAGUGUCCGACAGUAGAAUUAGGGGUACAAGAUACCCACCUGAGAGAAAUGAAAAAGAAAAUAUAGAGCUUCUCAUUCCCCCUCAAAAAGCUUCAAAGUGCAAGAAAGGUAUGUAUCCCUUCAAAAGAGCAAAAGUAGAAUUAGACUUUCACCAUUGUUUGUAGCCUAAAGGGUAGUAGCAAUAGAUUUGGUUAGUCAUAUGCACGCUUUCUCCCAGUGGUAAAAAUAUAAAUACGAUACUCUGGAUAACCUCUCGGGUGAAGUGCUCACCGAUAUCCGUGCGCUUGCGGAUCAUUUCCUGAUGGCGUUAACAAAUAUCAACAAGCAUUUCUGGCGCCGUUGCCGGAGAGAAAGACGGUUUGCUGAGAUAACUUUGAGUCUUGCUAUUAUCUUGUAUUAUACUUUUAUACUUUUAUUCUUUUAUCUUUUUAUUUUUUUCUAUCCUUAUGCAUAACUCAAAUUCCACACAUAUUAUUGAAUUUUUUGCACCUUCGCAGACCAGCCAUGGACCAUAGGAGUCAACAAGUCCUUUCUUUGACUCUAAUUAUGAUCUGUGUCCGGAGUUGAUUGCAAUAGGUCAAACCCAACCCUUUUCUAUAGCCGAGGUCCUAUCUUUUAAUCAAGAAGAUAAUGAACUUUUAGCUACACCUAGGGAAUCUUGUAAUCUUUCUAUAAAUUCUGGUUUAGACCUAGCCCUACAAGACCAUGUUUUUCCUCGAUAUUUUCACAUUGGUCUUAAUCAUAUAACCUUUGGUAGAGUUUUUCUUUAUUUAUUUGUUAGUAAAGCAAGAUAUGUCUUCAUUCGUGGACAUCCUUCUUACACUAGUCUUUAUAAAAAAUUCCUAGAGAUAGAGAAGGAAUCAUAUCCCAGAUGAGGAAAGGAAGUUUCAAUAACCGAUUUCCAAACAUUUCAAUCCCAUGAUUCGGCUAUCCAACCCAAACUAGUAGUCCUCCAAAAUCAUCUAAGGGAAGAAAAAAAUUCUAGCUUUGAAAAUUCAUUUUGGGAUGAGCUUAAACUUCCUACUUCAUAAGAGACCUUUGAGUGCAUAUAGUCUGAACCUUCCUAAGAAGGGAUCUCUUAGAAAGCAUCUCAAAUCCAAUCCCUUUGAUGGACAUCUACAAAGACUCAAGGAUGGCAUCUUAAGUGACGCAAUAGAAGGAUAGCGAAGCUAUUUAGAAAACAAUCUCAUCUUCUCCCUUUCUACACCCACUUUUGAUGACUCAUUCGAACCUAUCUUUAAACCCAUCCUUGAGCCUAAUAAUUUCUACUAUACUCUUUCUCUUGAACCUCCAGAUGAUCCUAUGAAUCUCUCUAGACAUCCCAUGCAUAAGAGUCACCAAGACCACAAGGAGGAUCGAGAAGAGCAACAUCAAUGGCUAGAGGGUGUUGACGGUCUUUAAGUAUCAAAUUUAAUUAUCAAAUAAACAAAGAAAAGGAUCCAAAUGCAACCAACACCCAGACUUAGGGUUUUAUCUGCAUAAUUCCACGAGUUUUGGUGUUUGUCUAUUUCUGCAUGGGGUUAUCAGGAUAUAUGGAGGAAAGGCCCACAUGUCGGGUUUACAUAGAGAUAUUAACGUGUGCGGCAAUUUUCUAUCAUCUAGAAGACAUCAGAAGCCACAGGAACGAACGGGAAGCCGAGCGGGCUCGGGGACAGGGCGCCCGGCCUCCCCCCUUGGGCGCCCGCCCUGUCAUCUGGACCAAUCAGGCUCCGCCUCGCGGAUUAUGCUCCACCGACCUAAAGGAUUAAAGAAAACCGUGCGAUUAAGGUCGGUUUGAUCCGACGGCCCACAUUCAUUUGGAGGGGCUAUAUAAGCAGGUUCCCAGGCCCCUGGAGGAGGCACCCCUUCAUCCUUAUUCAUUAUUCAUAGAUAGAGCAAAAGCUAGGGUUUGGAGAUGAGAGCUCUCCUCUCAUCUCUAAACUAGAGUAGAUUUAGAUAGUAGCGAGAUGGAGAGCGAGGGAGGAUUGGAGGAGAGGCCGGCCUGUCGGUUCUUCCUCCAGUUGUACUUCGCCAUGAUCAAGCUCUAAUCAAGCUUGCUCAUGGGAUGACUCUGGUAAUCUACUUCUAUUUCAUUAUGCAAUUACUAUCCAUGUAUGUUCUGGUUCACAACUCUUUUGAGUACUUUAAUCUAUAGGACGCUAUAGGUGAGGGUUGUAGUAUAGGUGUAAGCGUGGUGCUUAGACCUAGAUUACUUGUGGAUAUCCCCUGUCUAGCCGGAUCGUGUGGUAGGCCACGUAGGUGACAGCUAUGUUGGUCCUCUGUAGUCUACCUCCCGUUAGCAGGACUGGUAGGGUUUAUCGGCCUAUGGAUAAGCAUCAUUUGUGGUGUAAUCUUAUCAUGUGGUUCGUCCCAGACAUAGAGAUACCCCUUUGAAGUAGAGAAACCAUAGUUAUCCUCUUUAUUCUCCUACCAUCGCCCAUAUACUAGAUUGCUCUACUCUCUAUUCCCAUAUUAUCACUCAUUGUUAUCUUAGCUUUAAUAUUGUUCUUAUUCAAUUCUACCAUCUUUCCUAUUUACACCUAUCUAUCUAUCUAGGUUAAGUUAGAGCGUAGUUGGUUCUCCCGUUUCCCUAUGGAUACGAUAAAACCUUUAACCGGGUAAAAGCUACAACGGUAUCCGUGCGCUUGUGGAUUUAUCUAUGUGUGUAUAAAUACUAUAGUACACUCUAGUGCCAUGCUGGAGAUGACAACCUAGUAUUCAAGUGGUGUUAGCAAGUGUCAACAGAGGGCAUUAAAAAUCCAUGUGCUAUCACCAUUGAAUGGAUGGAUAAAACAAACUUGAGAGACAAUCCUAGAGGAAUUUUAAGCAUUCAUGAAGAAUCAUCCUUAGAGUUUGAGAAUGAGAGAAACAACAGUGAGCAUGGAAGUUAUUUCAUAAAUACCUCACCAAGUCCUUGCUCAUAUAAUACAUCUCCCCAAUCAAUUGGUCUCUCCAACCUUACCACAUUUGAGAUCUCCAAACUUUAAAGGGGUGGCUAUCGAUGCAUAUGUCUAUAAUAAAUAUUGCAGAUAUCGUUGAGUCAAUCUUGAUAUAGGCACGCUUAGGUUGGUGUUGGAGGGGAAACCACUUCACCUACAUAAUUUGAUGGUUUCCCAAUGACAAGCUUAGUGUCCUAAAACAAGCACUUAUCAGAUCGUAACAUAAACUUUUAAUUAUUUGCAACAUUGCCUUAUGUAUUGAGCAUAUAAAGAUAAUUGUAGAAAUAUUCCUUCGGGUAUUCGUGUCACUAACCUUUCUAGGAUUGGAGCAAGAAGAUCUGAGGAAUGACAAGCGCAAGGUAUGCCCAACCAAUCAUCACGCAACAUUAAAUUAAAUUCAUCCAAUCUUGAAUUUUGUAAAAUUCAAGCUUGGGGGAAAUACCUUACAUAAGAACAUCCUUUGCCAUGUUGCUAUCUUGGUUGUCCCUAUUUUUGAGGCAUGCUCAAUUUUUCUAAACACUAAACUUAUUUUUCAUCUCCAACUGAGUAGAUCUCUAUAAAUGCCGUCAUGCUACCUUUGUCUAUUCACAAGCAAGUGUUGGUUUGGAAGUACUCGACAUACUUCCAUUGGCAUUUAAAUUAAGCGUGGUGCUUAGGUUAAAUAGCCUUUCUUAAUCUGAUUAGACAUGGAGUCUAGUUUGGUUACUGAUCUAAGAACUGCUUGAGUAGACAUUGGUAUAUUUUGUCAGACUAGCCCCUGCAGGAAAACUUUCAAUAUCAACCUGGGAAGUCUUGAGAUACAAACUCACAUUGGAGACAAAGGAGACACAUGAAGUUUAACGAUUUGCACAAGGAAGACAUAGCUCAUUCAUCAUAGAGAGAUGAUCCAUGGAACGAGACAAAGAGUGCCACAAACACGGUGCACAACCGCUAAGAAAGAAAAGCUUCCACAAGGUGAUACUGUACCAUCACUCUUCAAGUAAGGUAACAUCUUAAGGUACUCAACUAUCACUUUUAUAAGCUUCUCCUUGGUUUUGGUGUUCACAUGAAUAAAGAGACAAACAUAAAUUAACCAACCCAGUUAAUUCAACAUGUUUAGUCCUUUAAUCUUUGUUCUUAGUACUACCUUCGUGAUCCUACACUCCUAACCAUAUAAGCUAAAAUGUUGCACAUUCAAUCUUUGAAAGAUAUUAAAAAACAUAAAUAUAGAUAAAUUAUCUUUCCAUUAGGUCGAGCGAUCUGAUCUGACAAAUGUUUUAAAUGCUACACUCAUGAUCUUAUUAUCCAUCAACUUUAUCUUGCUCACUAUGCUUAAGGUUAGAGAAGAACAAAUACAAUUUUGGUUCUAUUGGUGUUUUUCACCAACAGGGCCCAUGCACUUGAUCUCUGCCUUGUCUCUAUGAGCAGGUACACUUCGAGUAAAACCUGAAGAAGUUUUACAACUCCCAGAUUCCACCAAGUGAAGGACUUGGAUCUAGGAGCACAAACACACUGAGCAGGAUGCUGCCAAUGCCGCACCUCGAACUGUUGGACAAACGAAGAACAUGAGUGACACCGUAUCAAGAGGUGCAGAUGUCAAGGCCCACACCUAAUCAAAUGAUGCACUUAAAGUAUGAACACGAUGAGAAGUCUUGUCCACAAGACUUAAAACAUUGGAUCCUUGCCGGAAGGUAAAAUCGGUAUUUAUCCAUAUUUAUUUUUUCUAUAUUUCUUUUCCUUUUUAUUCAAUCACAUGUAUUAACAUAUUUACUUUACCACAUUAGUAUUAGAAAAGAAAAUAAAAAUAUUUGUUCGUUGCACUGCAUCAUAAAAUCUAAAGCCCCAUGUAAGUAGACUUAUGGUUUAAACCCAUAGGAAUAUUGACUGUGGUGGCAUAAAAUAAAUAUGUUUUCAUCUUACAAUAAAAAUAUAAAAAUAAUAAGUGUAUGAUCCUGCUAAAUAAAUAAAAUUUAUUAGGAGGAAUCUCAAUAUGAUAAAGGCUAAGAGAUUUUAUGCUAACACUUAACCAGUUCCACAAAGCUUUGUUGUCUAUUUGAGCUCCACAGAAUUCAAGGAUCAAAGAAGACUAGCCGGUGGAGGACAUAGUAAUCGUUGUCAGGGUGCUGCCGAUAUUCAAAUACACCUCCGUCACCUGCUAGCUACAUCAGAAGAAAUUACGUCAAAAUCCAGUUUGGGGGAGAGCACCCCCAUUUAUCCAGCUAAGUGUUUGUACUCGUGUUUAUACUUUACUCAAAUAAUAAAAAGAUGCAUAAUCAUGAAAACCCAAAUAAAAAUUUUCUGCCUAUAUAUAUCUUUGCUUAGUUUGCUAAAUAAAUAAAUAAAGUAUCUAGACCAAACUGAACUUAAAUGAUAAACUCUUACAUGGAUAUGAUAAAUAGUUGAUCUGCUAUGUACCUAGUUUUCAAGUUUGAGCUCUCUCUCAAGUUUAGGCAUAACUGUUAUAAUUUAAACCUCCUGAACUUGUGGGAAGAGUAAUUAAUCUAAAGUCUAAGUCGUUAACGGAUAUGAUAUGGAAAGAUUGAGCUGUUGUUUAUCUGUUCCUAGAGUUGCUAUAAUUCUAAAAAAAUUUAUCUUUGAAAAUCUUUAAAAUAUUGAGUUAGAAAUGAUGAGUUUAUAAGAGUUUAAAAUCCUACCACAACCAUAUAUACAUGCUUAUUAGACUGUGAACCAUAUAUUUACUGCUUAUGAGCAUGUGGUCAAGCUGUGUAGACCCUUAGGAGCUUGUCAUGCGGUUAAAAUCAAGAUUCACUUGCACGUUCACUCAUACAUGCUACUUCUACUCCGGAAGUACGCAUCCAUAUACAUCCACUCAAUUCCAUCUCCAGAUUCACCUAAAAUUAUUCUACUUCUAUCCGGGAGAGAAUAGCCAAAAACUUUUUCCUAUCCCUGUUAUUCCCUGUGAAAUAAAUGCUCGAGAUAUUUUGGUUACUACCACUUGCUACAUUAUUCUAGAAGGGUGAGUGCUCUGAAAAAAGGGGAAAAUACGAGGAAAUAAAAAGGGGCAAGUGCCCGGAACCUCGAAGAAAAGAAAAAGUGAGAUGAGAGGUAAAAAUGAACAAGUGUCCGAUAGUAGAAUUAGGGGUACGAGAUACCCACCUGAGAGAAAUAAAAAAAAUAUAGAGCAUCUCAUUCUCCUCAAAAAAGCUUCAAAGUGCAAGAAAGGUAUGUAUCCCCU